RNAcentral lists this ribosomal RNA (315 nucleotides) under Triticum aestivum (bread wheat). RNAcentral's name for it is "partial small subunit ribosomal RNA". The record is from RNAcentral. Lineage: Eukaryota; Viridiplantae; Streptophyta; Magnoliopsida; Poales; Poaceae.
GAAAGGAUCAGACGACGCUUGGGGGCCAAACUGCCACUUGUCAUUCCAGAAGGGAGGUUAAGGCCAGAGGCACCUCUUCUUGCUGCAAAGUUUGCAACUGAAUGCAAUGUUACAGUCAGAGGCCAUGUGCCUGUGUUUAAGCACUGGAAGGAUUACAAGGACCCAGAGGGAAAUGUUCGAGAAGGGAUCUUCAAGAACUUUGUAGGCAAAGUUGGUAACAAGUUUGAGAUGGACGUAAAAGCGGUGCCGGUUAGGAAGGCUUGUACACAAAUGUUGAAACGUGCGAUUCGCCAACAACGAUACAGGCUCAAGUAG